AUUGAUGGGAACUUUUUUAAACCUCGCCAUUUAGAGGAAGGUGAAGUCGUAACAAGGUUUCCGUAGGUGAACCUGCGGAAGGAUCAUUACCACACCUAAAAACUUUCCACGUGAACCGUAUCAACCCAAUUAAUUGGGGGUUUCGUUGGCGGCUGUUGCUGGCAUGUUUUUGCUGGCUGGCAGCUGCUGAGUAAGCCCUAUCAUGGCGAGUGCUCUGAUCUCGGUCGGAGCUAGUAGCUUCAAUUUUAAACCCUUUCUUAAAUACUGAAUAUACUGUAGGGACGAAAGUCUCUGCUUUUAACUAGAUAGCAACUUUCAGCAGUGGAUGUCUAGGCUCGCACAUCGAUGAAGAACGCUGCGAACUGCGAUACGUAAUGCGAAUUGCAGGAUUCAGUGAGUCAUCGAAAUUUUGAACGCAUAUUGCACUUCCGGGUUAGCCCUGGGAGUAUGCCUGUAUCAGUGUCCGUACAUCAAACUUGGUUUUCUUCUUUCCGUGUAGUCGGUGGAGGAUAUGCCAGAUGUGAAGUGUCUUGCGGUUGAUUUUCGGAUCGGCUGCGAGUCCUUUGAAAUGUACAGAACUGUAUUCUCUUUGUUCGAAAAGCAUGGCGUUGCUGGUUGUGAAGGCUGUCCGUGUGGCUAGUCGGCGAUCGGUUUGUCUGCUAUGGCGAUAAUGGAGGAGUGUUCGAUUCGCGGUAUGGUUGGCUUCGGCUGAACAGACGCUUAUUGGAUAUUCUUUCUGCUGUGGCGGUAUAACUGGUGAACCGUAUUCAUAUGUGACUUGGCUUUUGAAUUGGCUUUGCUGUUGCGAAGUAGAGUGGCAGUUUCGGCUGUCGAGGGUCAACCCAUUUGGGAAAUUUGUGUUGUGCGACUUCGGUUGCGUGGCAUCUCAAUUGGACCUGAUAUCAGGCAAGAUUACCCGCUGAACUUAAG
This 930-nucleotide ribosomal RNA is filed under the name Peronospora arborescens. RNAcentral describes it as "eukaryotic LSU rRNA". The stretch from base 311 to 465 matches the Rfam family "5.8S ribosomal RNA". The record is from RNAcentral. Lineage: Eukaryota; Oomycota; Peronosporomycetes; Peronosporales; Peronosporaceae.